This is a long non-coding RNA of Etheostoma spectabile (orangethroat darter), 1315 nucleotides long. RefSeq lists it as uncharacterized. The transcript has 4 exons. The record is from RefSeq and is a predicted model, not a curated record. Lineage: Eukaryota; Metazoa; Chordata; Actinopteri; Perciformes; Percidae.
CAAACCGUCACCUCUUACACUUCUAUCAGCGGUGCUUUCUGGAGGGUGCGGCAGCGGGCUAUACGAAGCUAAAACCGGAUAAUAGAAAGCGCAAAAACGGCGCUGAAAAGGCAACAAUUAAAAAAGGAAUGCUCUAGAAAGUGACGUGGCCAGCUGUUCUAAACUGAGCAACGUUUUCAUUAAAACCAGCCCGAGUGAAACUCCAAAUGAAGACAAUGCGACCGCAUUAGCUGACUGUCCAGUUGGCUGCUAACAGUAAAAAUUAAGAGCCAGUACCAAGCACCGGCCGUGAGCUCAGAACUCCAGAGUGGGCAGUGACCAGUUGUGGAGACCUCAAUCAAGGUCCCAUUGCAACAGGGAUCCAUAACAGGAAGCUGUUGGGACAAGGUGGUGAGCUCUCAGACCAAACAGCACUGCAAUGUGUGUACUUUUAUAAAGUCAGUAAUGCAUCAUUUGCUUUUUUGAAUAAUUCAUAUGGCAUAUUUGUCUAUAUUUGAUAGUUUACAGUGUAGAUGCAGUUAGGAAACACGGGGAAAGAGACGGGUAUGACACGUAACAAGGCUCCAAGAGUCAAACCAGUGACAAUGCUGUUUUAUGGUAAACGUCAAACAGUAGGCCACCAGGACACAUCAUUUACAUUUUUUAAAGGAUCAAAUUUAGUACAAGUUUAUUACACCUUUGCAUAAUUUUGGCCUUCAUAUCUAUUGGUACUGAUAACAUUGCACACACCCAAAAAUUGUUGAGAUUUGAAAACAUUACGACAACAAGGCUUAACAAUAAGGCAAGUAUGGUAGGUCAAUGUUAAACCAGGGAGUUGGUCUGUAAACUGGGAUUCAUGUUUACAAUGUACAGUUUGCAUAAUGAUUUAACUUUUGUUUUCUCCAACAAGUAAGUUUGACUAACCUGGGGUUUUGCUUUAAAACCCAAUUGUAUCGCCAGACAAGAACAUAGGUGUUGGACAGUGCUGCCAAAUAAAGGAUUAUGUUCAAAGACAAUCUUUAAAAAAUUCAACCUGUCUUCUACAAUAUCUGUGGAUGGAAACUAUUGUAUGGUUAAAUGUAGGGAAGAAUCAUGGUUACGGUAUAGGAUGCAAACUCGGGUCCCUUAUGUGCACUGUUUGUUGGAAAGCAAUGACCAAUGUUUCGUUACAUAUGUGCCUGUGUCAAUUACAAUAAAAUUGAAUUGAAUUACUUGCACUUGGCACUGAAUGUUAGAUGUAUUGUGAGUUCAGACCAAUAUGGACAAAAUUGAUACUCUUAAAACCAGUAUGAUUGGGUUCCUUUCCUAGUCUGGCUUCUUUUAUCAACGUUAUUAU